Molecule: ribosomal RNA, 250 nt
Filed under: uncultured bacterium
Lineage: Bacteria
Description: partial 16S ribosomal RNA
Rfam family: Bacterial small subunit ribosomal RNA
Source: RNAcentral
AACGGGGGGGGCAAGUGUUCGGAAUCACUGGGCGUAAAGGGCGCGUAGGCGGCCGAUCAAGUCGGGGGUGAAAGCCUGUGGCUCAACCACAGAAUUGCCUUCGAUACUGGUUGGCUUGAGACCGGAAGAGGUAAGUGGAACUGCGAGUGUAGAGGUGAAAUUCGUAGAUAUUCGCAAGAACACCAGUGGCGAAGGCGGCUUACUGGUCCGGUUCUGACGCUGAGGCGCGAAAGCGUGGGGAGCAAACAGG